AUGAUGUUUGAGCAAGUACUUUUUUUGAGUGUCUAUUUAUUUUUGAUUGGUAUCUAUGGAUUGAUCACAAGCCGAAACAUGGUUAGAGCUCUAAUAUCUCUUGAACUUAUACUGAAUUCAAUUAAUCUAAAUCUCGUAACAUUUUCUGAUCUAUUUGAUGGUCGUUAAUUAAAAGGAGAUAUUUUCGCAAUUUUUGUUAUAGCCCUUGCGGCUGCUGAAGUCGCUAUUGGACUAUCUAUUCUUUCUUCUAUCCAUCGCAAUAGGAAAUCCACUCGUAUCAAUCAAUCUAAUUUAUUGAAUAAUUAG
This 306-nucleotide ribosomal RNA is filed under the name Triticum aestivum (bread wheat). RNAcentral describes it as "partial small subunit ribosomal RNA". The record is from RNAcentral. Lineage: Eukaryota; Viridiplantae; Streptophyta; Magnoliopsida; Poales; Poaceae.